GAUGAACGCUGGCGGCGUGCCUAAUACAUGCAAGUCGAGCGAACAGACGAGGAGCUUGCUCCUCUGACGUUAGCGGCGGACGGGUGAGUAACACGUGGAUAACCUACCUAUAAGACUGGGAUAACUUCGGGAAACCGGAGCUAAUACCGGAUAAUAUAUUGAACCGCAUGGUGCAAUAGUGAAAGACGGUUUUGCUGUCACUUAUAGAUGGAUCCGCGCCGCAUUAGCUAGUUGGUAAGGUAACGGCUUACCAAGGCGACGAUGCGUAGCCGACCUGAGAGGGUGAUCGGCCACACUGGAACUGAGACACGGUCCAGACUCCUACGGGAGGCAGCAGUAGGGAAUCUUCCGCAAUGGGCGAAAGCUUGACGGAGCAACGCCGCGUGAGUGAUGAAGGUCUUCGGAUCGUAAAACUCUGUUAUUAGGGAAGAACAAAUGUGUAAGUAACUAUGCACGUCUUGACGGUACCUAAUCAGAAAGCCACGGCUAACUACGUG
RNAcentral lists this ribosomal RNA (497 nucleotides) under uncultured bacterium. RNAcentral's name for it is "partial 16S ribosomal RNA". It matches the Rfam family "Bacterial small subunit ribosomal RNA", at positions 28 to 507 of the family's 1533-position model. The record is from RNAcentral.